RNAcentral lists this ribosomal RNA (51 nucleotides) under Bacillus cereus. RNAcentral describes it as "partial 23S ribosomal RNA". The record is from RNAcentral. Lineage: Bacteria; Bacillati; Bacillota; Bacilli; Caryophanales; Bacillaceae.
GGUGACAUGUGGAGCUGACGAAUACUAAUAGAUCGAGGACUUAACCAUAUA